Molecule: small nucleolar RNA, 95 nt
Filed under: Paecilomyces variotii No. 5
Lineage: Eukaryota; Fungi; Ascomycota; Eurotiomycetes; Eurotiales; Thermoascaceae
Description: Byssochlamys spectabilis No. 5 A. fumigatus snoRNA Afu_263
Rfam family: A. fumigatus snoRNA Afu_263
Source: Rfam by way of RNAcentral
UUCAAUGAUGAUCACCAUACACAUAAGCAUAGUUCACCUGAGAUCUUCGGAUCGCUGAACGACAAACCUAUACCAUCUUUCGCUCCUAUCUGAAA